CAGCAGCCACGGGAAUACGUAGGGUGCAAGCGUUAAUCGGAAUUACUGGGCGUAAAGCGUGCGCAGGCGGUUCGUUAAGACAGAUGUGAAAUCCCCGGGCUUAACCCGGGAACUGCAGUUGUGACUGGCGAGCUAGAGUAUGGCAGAGGGGGGUAGAAUUCCACGUGUAGCAGUGAAAUGCGUAGAGAUGUGGAGGAAUACCGAUGGCGAAGGCAGCCCCCUGGGCCAAUACUGACGCUCAUGCACGAAAGCGUGGGGAGCAAACAGGAUUAGAGACCCGUGUAGUCCCUGUCUCUUAUAC
Molecule: ribosomal RNA, 301 nt
Filed under: uncultured bacterium
Lineage: Bacteria
Description: partial 16S ribosomal RNA
Rfam family: Bacterial small subunit ribosomal RNA
Source: RNAcentral